Molecule: long non-coding RNA, 7036 nt
Organism: Peromyscus maniculatus bairdii (prairie deer mouse)
Lineage: Eukaryota; Metazoa; Chordata; Mammalia; Rodentia; Cricetidae
Source: RefSeq, a predicted model, not a curated record
UAAACCCUACAUUUUUUAAAAAGUUGCUAAGCAUAAAUCUUACCAUAGAAAUAAUCCAGUUGAACCAAAGCCUAUGUGCUCUUCAUUUUUCAGCAAUGUACUAAUAAUGCCCCGUGAACUAUGAAUACUACCACUCACCAGCAGGGGGAGUGAGUUGGCCUUGAAAGUCCCAGCAGAGGCUAGAAGAAAGUGGUGGAUACCCUGGGACUGGACUUCCACACAGCUGUAACCUGCCAUAUGGGUGCUGGAAACUAAACCAGGAUGCCCUCGAAGAGCAGCUAGUUCUCGUAAACUCUCAGCCGUUUCUCCCUGAAGGUCCAUUCUUAAUACACACUAUUAUAGCAAGUCCUUUUCAUCUUUGCACCAUGUUCUGCCUGCACACUGUCGCGAUCCCUGCCAUCAUGAAAAUGGACUACACCUCUGAAACUGUAAGCUGCCACCUCAAUUAAAUGUUUUCCUUUAUAAGAGUCACUGUGGUCAUGGUGUCUUCUCUUCCCAGCAAUAGAAACCCUAACGAAGACUGUGCCCUUUCCUAAAUUGUCAGCUCUAUCAACUUCAGAGCUACAUCAUCAGUAGGUGAUUUGAUUUACUUAUAAUCUGCCCUCCCAAAAGUAGUUUAUAGAAUACUAUCCAUUAAAAUUUCCUUAAGUUACAAUCUAAUUAUGUUCUAACUAGAAAGCAACUGCACUUCAAUCCCAGUCUAAAGUUGAUUUUGAGUAUUUUUUUUUUAAAAAAAGUGAUAUUAUUGGAGCAAAGAAUAGUUAUGUAACUUUUGUGGCUUAGUACUAUAUUGUUCUCCAGAUGGAGAAGACCAUUAAUAUUGUGCAUUCAUCCUGUUUCAAUUUUAUCAGUUUGGACUUUGUAACUGUUGAUAUUGGUUAUCAACUUGACAGGAUUCGCGAUCACAGACAAGCCUCUGUACAUGCUUGUGAGGGAUUGUCUAGAUUAGAUUGACUGAGGUGGGCAAUCCACCUACAAGAGGCUAGCACUAUUUUCUGGACUCGGGUCCUGGGACCUACAUGAAAAGAAAGUGAGCUGAAUACCAGCAUCCGUCACUUCCUGCUUAGCAACUGCAGACACGAUGUGACUGAGAGCUGCCUGUGAGCCGCCUCAGGUUCCUGCGGCCAUGACUGCCCUGUGAUGCUUGACUAUAGUUUUGAGCUGUGAGUCAAAGCCCUUUCUCUCCCGGAAGUUGUUUUCGACGGGGUAUUUUUGUCACAGCGAUAGGAAAAGUAACUAAGACUGUAUUUUGUUAGCUUAACAAAUACAAAAGUUUAUUAUUUUUAAAAUAUAUUUAUUUGAAUUUGUCUCAUCUCAGGUUGCAAUUUUCUGUGUAUUUUGAAUUAAUUUAAAAAAUCAUAAUAAAAUUUGGCUCCUAGAGAGGUUACAAGGAAGAAAAUUAAUCAUGAUGAAAUUUUCUUUAUAUUUUAGAUAUAUUGUUUUUAGUUUUGGAGAACUAGAAUAAUUUCACUCUUUUAAAAUGAAGAGAACAUUCAUUUUGAGCAGAAAAAUAAAAAUGCAAAAUAUAAUUUCAUGUCAUAAUUCUCAGAUUCACUCCCCCUUCAUCUUAACCAUGAUUUUCACUCUAUAAUGCAAUUUAGAAUUGGGCCCAAAUUAUACUUAUUUUCCACACUGCUAGAAUGAUCUUUUAAGAAUACAAGCUUGCCGGGCGGUGGUGGCUCAUGCCUUUAAUCCCAGCACUCAGGAGGCAGAGCUAGGCGGAUCUCUGUGAGUUCUAGGCCAGCCUGGACUACAGAGUGAGUUCCAGGAAAGGCACAAAGCUACACAGAGAAACCCUGUCUCGAAAAACAAAAACAAAACAAAACAAAAAAAGAAUACAAGCUUAAACUGCGUAUGUAAGUCUCCAAUUUUUAACACUACUUUUCUGAGCUUUCAUAUUCUGACAUUUCUCCACUACUCCAGUGGGGGGCGCUACUCCUAAUGUUGGCAUUCUCUUAUUUCAGUAAAUCUGUGGAUCUCUAGUGACUUAUUUCUUCUGCCUAAAAGGUUUCUUUGCACAAAUUUUACCCUAAUAGGUCAUCAUCCUUUAGGCAAAUCUUAAAAUAUUUUGUAGUUUGAUGUCGGUGGGCAGAGAAAAACCUGUAACGCGAGUUGGCUAUCAGAUACCAAGACACAGGUAGAGAGGAUCAGCUCUGGUGUGCAGCAGAGACGGAUGACAAAGGUUUGUAGUAAACUGUCCCGUUUUGUGAAGAGUUAGAAAAGGGAUGCUCAAAGACUCAAACAAACAAACAAGAUAAGAAAAGGAAAUGCUAAUUAGAAUGCUAAUUAUCCUGAUUGGGUCAGUUUGUGUUUGCAUGUGUUAAAAUAUGUAUUGAUUAAUGUAAAUAUGUAAAAGUAUUGAUUAAUACAUAAAAUCAAUACUUGAUAAUACAAAAUGGCAACAAUCCAGAGCACACUUUAAGAAAAAUGAUAGAAAAACAUGACUAAUGUCUCAUAUAAAUAGGGGGUCCUGAAACUUGGUUUCAUAAUAGAGCCACUUGCAGGUGUAAAAACCUGCCUCAUCUCUCCUUGUUUUUAGUGUUGUUGGUUUAGCAGUACUAUGCUCUAAGUAGGCUACAGCAAUGCAUUUUUCCUUAAGAACUGUGUUUAAGCUGGGCGGUGGUGGCGUACGCCUUUAAUCCUAGCACUCGGGAGGCACAGGCAGGCAGAUCUCUGUGAGUUCGAGGCCAGCCUGGUCUACAGAGUGAGUUCCAGGAAAGGAGCAAAGCUACACAGAGAAACCCUGUCUCAAAAAGCCAGAAAAAAAAAAAAAAAAAAAAAAAAAAAAAAAAAAAAAAGAAAGGAAACUCCAUGUACCUGGUAGUUUCUUGGAUUAGCCUGGGAGCAAAAUCAUAGGAUCAGCAUCAUUUUUCUAUAUAAUUAUGAAAUACCUUUGUUAUUUUACUUUUCAAUUUCUUUGUAAGCAAGUGGCUAUCUAUUCACUUUAGCAGACCAAAGUAAAAUAAGCUUUCAUCUUGAGAUUCUUUGAGACUAACAAAAAUUUUAAACUAUUUUUUAUGAUGGUGAAUUUAUUUAUUUGAAAAAAAUUUAUUGAACACCUAACUAAAUUUUUUGAUGAACUGCUUGAAAAGCUGAGGAUGCAGUGAUGAUCACUGUGGAGUUUGUAGUCUAGUGAGGGAAUAAAUAAAUAAGUAUUUAGUAUCUGAGUGUGGUAAGUGCAAUCAAAGCAUGGAAGAUGGCGAAUAACAGCAAAGAGUCAGGACAAGCCCUGCCUGUGGAGGGGUGUCAGGGGAUGAGGGUAAGUCAUGUGACAUCCAGGGAGCAGCUUUCUAUGCAGAAAGAAAGCAGGACAGAGGCUGAGGUCAGUAGGGGCUCUACAUGCUGAAGGAAUCAGCAAGAAGGCAGUUUUGUUUCUAGAAGAAUGAACAAAUUCCAACUUUGUUCUCGUGGAACUUACAUAAUACCAGGUGGAAAAAGACCCACAAAACGAAUAAACCAUCACAUCAAGACACGCCCCUCGGGGUUGAAUACUGUGAAAGGGGUGGGUCUGGAGAAGGAGAGAGAGAGAGAGAGAGAGAAUGUGUGCUAUUUCAGAUAAGGUGGUAAAAGAAGUACAAGAAACGAUUUUAAAUGGAACGUUGAAUAAAGUGAAGAAUGAAACCAUGCAGGUACUGGUGAAGAGUGUCACAGCCAGACGGCGAGUACAGAGGCCUAGAAGGAGGAAGCUGGUGGCAGGUUAGGUUAGAUGCCUCACUGGGGACAGUAGUGCAUGGGGCUUUUGUGUGUUCAGAUUUAUCCUCAGUGAGAUGGUGUGCGUCCAUCUUUAUAAGUCUGCAUUUCUAGAUUAAUUCAAGGACCACUCUGAACCCAUAGAUUUAAAAAAAAAAAAAAAAAAAAACAUUGCGGAGAAGCACGUCAGAUCCAAACUCAAGCCCUCUGCGGCAUGGUAGUUGGGUUGACCACCUCAGGAGAGAAGCGCCUUGAUUGCAUGAUAUAAUCCCUAAAAGCCAUUUUGAUAGCUUUUGUUUCCUGAAUCCACAAAGAGAUAAGAAGUGAAACAGGCCAGAAAACAGAAGAAGGAAAGAAGACUAGAGGGGGAAAGGAAAUGGUAUAAUUAACUGCAUAAAUACAGAAGCCAGAACCGGCAGAAAUGAUAAAAGCUGCGGGCGUGAGUGACAGAAGGGACCCCUUAAAGAGUGAGCGGAAGGCAGUCCCACAGCUCGCUUACUCUGGAGCUCCUGAAAAUGGAUGGCUGCUUGAAGAGAAACUACUUCCAGGUGAGAGGGCACAAAAUGUCACCUGUACUUCAGUUCCCACCUCCAGGUUCCUGCCCUGCUCCCCUCGUCGAUGGACCGUGAUGGGGGACUGUAAACUGAAAUAAAUCCUUCUCUCCCCAAGCUGCUUUUAGUCACGUUUUAUCACAGCAAUAAAUACCCUAACUAAGACAAAGUGUGUAUAUGGUUAAAGUAUAUGAUAUACUUGGAUGAGUGUGUGAAAUAUCUUUAUGAAACCCAUAACUAUAUACAAUGAACACACACACACACAGGGCCCAACAGGGUGUCGUGUUUUUCUCCGCACAUCUAAGCUGGAACCAGGCUGGAGAGGCAUUGACAUUUGGCCUUAGCGGAUCUCAGCCCAUAGCACGUCAAAGAAAGAGACUGUGCUUCACCAGGAAGGAAAAACAGCGAGGGCUGAACACAAUUUGAAAUCAGUGUGAUAACAGCGACAAUAACUUUAAUACUUAAAAUACAUCAUGUUCUGAACUAAAUGCUUUACAUACAUUGGCUCCCUCAAUCCUUAAAACUAUAAGAUAAUUGCUAUUGUUUUUCUCUACUAUGCAGAAAAGGACGUUAAGCCUCAGAAAGACUAAAUACCUGGUUGGAGAAUCAUCAAGCUAAAAGAAAUAGAACUGAAAAUUUAUUUGCAAUUACCUUACUGUGCUCACUGGUCUCUUAGAUAGUUUGUAUCAUUUUGUUAUCCAGGAGAGACAGAAAUUUCCAAAUUUGUGUGUUCCUCAUCACCCCAUCCUCACCACGGGUUGGGGCAAGUAUGAGAAACAUGAUCAUUGAGCGAGGCUGGUAAAGACCAUUGAGCCUAAAAUAUAUCUCCUUGCUUGCGAGAAUAUGAACAGAUCGUAGGUAACAAAUUCAACGAGUGGUGUGGUUUGAGUGAGGAUGGCCCCCAGAGGCUCACACAUUUGAAUUCUCGGUGUAACUGUCUGAGAAAGAUUAGGAGGUGAGGCCUUGUUGGAGGAUGUGUGUACUGGGAGUAGGCUUUGAGGAUUUAAAAGCCCGUAUCAUUCCCAGCUAGUUCCCAGCUCUUUGCAUCAUGCCUGUGGAUCAGAUGUAAGCUCGCAGCUACUGCUCCAACACCACGCCUGCCUGCCUGCUACCAAGCUUCUCUCCAUGAUGGUCACAAAGUAACCCUCGGAAACUGUAUGAAAACCCCAACUAAAUGCUUCCUUCUGUAAGCUGCCUUGGUCAUCGUGUCUCUCCCUGGAAACGGUAACUAAGACAACUGGUUUCAUAAUUGGGGCUGCUGAGGUGGCUCAGUGGUCCUCGGCAGAGGACCUGGAUUUGGUUCCCGUCACUAUCACGGUAGCUCACAAUCUUCUGUAACUCCAACUUCAGGGAUUCUGAUGCCUUCCUUCUCCUGGCCUCUUUGGGUACCAGUUGUACAUGUGGUACACUACAUGUGAGGAAAACACUCACCCAAAUCUUAAAUUUAAAAUACACGCAGAUGCGCGCGCACACACACACACACACACACACACACACUGUCACAAAAAACCAAAAAAAAAAAAAAAAAAAUCUGAACCCAACCAGAUACAGGUAAGUGCCCAGGAUUGUUUUCCAAGAAGGACUGAUUACGUUCCGAGGAAUUUACUUACCCUGUCUGAAUACCAGUUAUAUUACUACCUCCUGUGGGCUAUACUGGAUUAAAGUGGGGACAUGGGUGGGGUGCACAGGAGGAACUGGAAGGGAGAGAGGGAAGAAUGGAAAUGAUGUAAAUACCGUACUAAUGUAUGGAAUUAUAAAAAAUAACAAUAGAUAUAAAAAUGUGACAUCAACAAUUUGAAAGUGCCAGACCUAUUGUAAAAUGCUCAGGAAUAUAAAUGAAAAAAAAAACAGAUUAAAUGGUAUAGCAUUGAUUCCUCACUUACAACUUCAGAUUUCCCAACUUUUCUCUGCUUAAUUCUUUGUACGCUGGUCCAGAAUAUUGCUUUUGGUUCUGGACCUGAGGCAGUCCCUAAGAAUUUCUUUUCUCUCUGGCAAACUCAAGUACUUACUUCAGGCAAGACAGGAGAAAUUCUGACCUUGAGAACAGAGCCUCUGAGUUCUCAACAGGACUUGUUUUCAAAAUCUAGUUAUAGAAAAUUUGAGUAUUGUUUUGCCUUUAAAAGCACAGGGCUCUUCCAUUAUUUUGUGAAAAUUCUAAUAAAAAUUCAAUAAGACAAAUUAGUAAUUUUCAAAAAUGAAUAAUAAUAAUAAACCCUCCACAAUACAAUAACCUCUAAAUAAAAGUAAUGUUAACAGUCAGGUAUAUACAUAUAGACAUAACUUGAACAAGGGAGUCUGGUCCUUUCUAAGGAUUUUUUUUUUUUCCUGAAUCGGAACCUCAGCUUUUAAAGAAAGUUGAUCAUCUCAACUGAUCAGCUGACUUAUAUUAAGGACAGAUGUGUAAGGACAAUUUACUAGUUGCCUAGAAAGUGAUGAAUGCAAAAGUGGGAGAGAUGUCAUCUGGCAACUCAUUAAAGCAUUCCCAAAUAAGUGAUAACAGUAGUUAAGUAUAUGAGUUAAUUUAAUAAUAACAAGUAUAAUGGAUCUGUGGGGAAGGACAAUAUGAAGAGAUGAAGUGUCUCAUGAUAUAACAAAACACAUGUAUUCAUUUGUUGGAUGUUUAUUGAGCACCAUACAUGACAGCUACCCAGAGAGCAAUGCACCAUGCACGUGGUCAUGUAGACUAUAAUGUAAUUGCUUAGUACACAAUGUAUACCACUGUUUGUAAUGAUCUUGCAAUAAAGAUAUGAUAGUGAGCCGGGUGGUGGUGCACGCCUUUAAUCCCAGCACUUGGG